RNAcentral lists this ribosomal RNA (301 nucleotides) under uncultured bacterium. RNAcentral's name for it is "partial 16S ribosomal RNA". It matches the Rfam family "Bacterial small subunit ribosomal RNA", at positions 509 to 807 of the family's 1533-position model. The record is from RNAcentral.
CAGCAGCCGCGGUAAUACGGAGGGAGCUAGCGUUGUUCGGAAUUACUGGGCGUAAAGCGCACGUAGGCGGCUUUGUAAGUUAGAGGUGAAAGCCUGGAGCUCAACUCCAGAAUUGCCUUCAAGACUGCAUCGCUUGAAUCCAGGAGAGGUGAGUGGAAUUCCGAGUGUAGAGGUGAAAUUCGUAGAUAUUCGGAAGAACACCAGUGGCGAAGGCGGCUCACUGGACUGGUAUUGACGCUGAGGUGCGAAAGCGUGGGGAGCAAACGGGAUUAGAUACCCCGGUAGUCCCUGUCUCUUAUAC